Long non-coding RNA from Notolabrus celidotus (New Zealand spotty), 404 nucleotides. RefSeq lists it as uncharacterized. The transcript has 5 exons. NCBI's taxonomy places the organism in Eukaryota, Metazoa, Chordata, Actinopteri, Labriformes, Labridae. The record is from RefSeq and is a predicted model, not a curated record.
UUCCCCCCAUGCUGACGUUUCAAACAGGUGGUGCUUACAAGGUAACACCAGGGUAACCUGAGGGCAACGCCUAACACACAAGCCUGAAGCGUUAUGCUACAAGUUAAAUAUUAAAUCGGUAAUAAAUAAAAGCAGCUGCAGAUUCCAAGUCUCGAGGCAGAGUUUCUUGUUAAACAGCCUGACAGACGGGAGCAGUCAUCUGUUUCACUGAGCCUGGACCCUUUACACACAAGCACAGACCAGAGUGGCCGAAGGGGUCUGUGUCUACCUGAGCAACAAGCUGGACUUCAUUUUUAGCUUCAGUGGCACAGAGCCAGCCCCCCAAAAUGUGCUUCGGGUAAAAAUCCACCUGUGAAGCCUGUUUCACUUCAAAUUAAUAGCUGAAGAGAGACAGGAAAUGUGGG